Molecule: transfer RNA, 73 nt
Filed under: Camelus bactrianus (Bactrian camel)
Lineage: Eukaryota; Metazoa; Chordata; Mammalia; Artiodactyla; Camelidae
Also listed under: 2 other names
Rfam family: tRNA
About the family: Transfer RNA (tRNA) molecules are approximately 80 nucleotides in length. Their secondary structure includes four short double-helical elements and three loops (D, anti-codon, and T loops).
Source: Rfam by way of RNAcentral
GAGGGUACAGCUCCAGUGGUAGAGCACAUGCUUAGCACGCAUGAGGUCCUGGGUUCAAUCCCCAGUACCUCCA